Molecule: ribosomal RNA, 73 nt
Filed under: Christensenellaceae bacterium
Lineage: Bacteria; Bacillati; Bacillota; Clostridia; Christensenellales; Christensenellaceae
Also listed under: 1 other name
Description: partial 16S ribosomal RNA
Rfam family: Bacterial small subunit ribosomal RNA
Source: RNAcentral
AUUUUUAAGAGUUUGAUCCUGGCUCAGGAUUAACGCUAGCGGUAUGCCUAAUACAUGCAAGUCGAGCGGCCAG